This 933-nucleotide long non-coding RNA is filed under the name Hordeum vulgare. Its description in RNAcentral is "long non-coding RNA (HVUL_LNC014712)". The record is from RNAcentral. Lineage: Eukaryota; Viridiplantae; Streptophyta; Magnoliopsida; Poales; Poaceae.
UGCUGAUGGUGGCCAACUUCUAGGGCGUGGAAACACGUGGUGCAGGUCUGAGGGCUUGUGCGGCUUCAACAAGACUAUGGCGCAGGGUUGAUUCAAGGCAGUGUACACAUGAGAGCUUGAAGUCAACGAGUCGCGGGGUAGCACGGCCAGCUACAUGGAGUCAUGUUGAAGGUUGAGCUGGAGUCUAGUAGAAGAUUUCACUCUGUGUUGAUGGAGGGGCUACGACGUAAAUGCAUGGAGAGUCGAAGCCUAUUUCAACGGAGAGCGAGAGACACGUGGAUCGGACUGGGUACCAGUGGUCUGAUGGAGACGUGAUACUCGGCACCGGUCGGUGAUGAUCGGUGGUUGAGUGAUGUGGGUUCGCGACCCUUGAGACUCGACCGGGACAGUGGAGGCUCGACGCGGUAAUAGCGGCGAGGCGUGCGGUACGCACGUGACAUGGAGACGGGCCAGGACUCUCGUGGUCAUACAUGUGGUGAGACAAACUGCGAAUUUGACUCGAGAUGACUACAAGCAAUGGUGAAAUUCCUUCAACUUUCAGACAGGCGGUCAAGGAAGAGCGGUGAUGUUGAGUUCAGGUAACUCUUAUGUGUGACAUCCAAUAUGAGUUAUUCACUUUCACGCAGGUCAGUGAUCGGUGUGUGAUAGUGAUGGAUACUCUGGAAGUUGGGAGCGUAAUUAGAGUAAUGUGGAGCUUAAUUUUGCUCGAGGGUUGACUGUGAAGAAGACGAGAAAGGACUACAGUUGCAGGUGGAGCCACAUGGAGUCCGGAAGUAGCAGUGGUGCUCAUGGCGUAUCUCAAGUCCAAUGUACAUGGAAGUUUGACGCACGGAUGAACUCAAGGUGGCGGAGAAUAUUCGCCAAGGUGGAGUUUGUUAGAGUUGUGUCGAAUAUGGUGUACACGGUAGGUUACAGUUGGACUCUGAGUAGUAU